RNAcentral lists this ribosomal RNA (253 nucleotides) under uncultured bacterium. Its description in RNAcentral is "partial 16S ribosomal RNA". It matches the Rfam family "Bacterial small subunit ribosomal RNA", at positions 524 to 776 of the family's 1533-position model. The record is from RNAcentral.
UACGUAGGGGGCGAGCGUUGUCCGGAUUUAUUGGGCGUAAAGCGCGUGUAGGCGGCCGAGUAGGUCCGCUGUGAAAACUCGAGGCUUAACCUCGAGACGUCGGCGGAAACCACUCGGCUAGAGUCCGGAAGAGGAGAGUGGAAUUCCCGGUGUAGCGGUGAAAUGCGCAGAUAUCGGGAAGAACACCCGUGGCGAAGGCGGCUCUCUGGGACGGUACUGACGCUGAGACGCGAAAGCGUGGGGAGCGAACAGG